This 234-nucleotide ribosomal RNA is filed under the name uncultured Candidatus Saccharibacteria bacterium. RNAcentral's name for it is "partial 16S ribosomal RNA". It matches the Rfam family "Bacterial small subunit ribosomal RNA", at positions 584 to 818 of the family's 1533-position model. Lineage: Bacteria; Candidatus Saccharimonadota. The record is from RNAcentral.
UAAGUAGGUAGUGAAAUCGUGUGGCUCAACCAUACUCACAUUAUCCAAACUGCUAAGCUAGAGUAUAUGAGAGGUAGUUGGAAUUCCUUGUGUAGGAGUGGAAUCCGUAGAUAUAAGGAGGAACACCGAUGGCGUAGGCAGACUACUGGCAUAUUACUGACACUAAGGCACGAAAGCGUGGGAGCGAACAGGAUUAGAUACCCUGGUAGUCCACGCCGUAAGCUAUGGAUGCUA